CCUACGGGCGGCAGCAGUGGGGGAUAUUGCACAAUGGGGGAAACCCUGAUGCCGCGACGCCGCGUGGGUGAAGAAGCGCCUCGGCGCGUAAAGCCCUGUCAGCAGGGAAGAAAGUGAAGGUACCUGAAGAAGAAGCCCCGGCUAAACACGUGCCAGCAGCCGCGGUAAUACGGAGGGGGCAAGCGUUGUCCGGAUUUACGGGGUGUAAAGGGGGCGCAGAGGGCGAGGCAAGCCAGGAGUGAAAGCCCGGGGACCCACCCCGGGAAUGCUCUUGGAACUGCGUGGAGAGAGUGCAGGAGGGGGAGGCGGAAUUCCUGGUGUAGCGGUAAAAUGCGUAGAUAUCAGGAGGAACACCGGUGGCGAAGGCGGCCUGCUGGACUGCAACUGACGUUGAGGCCCGAAAGCGUGGGGAGCAAACAGGAUUAGAUACCCGGGUAGUC
RNAcentral lists this ribosomal RNA (440 nucleotides) under uncultured bacterium. Its description in RNAcentral is "partial 16S ribosomal RNA". It matches the Rfam family "Bacterial small subunit ribosomal RNA", at positions 338 to 795 of the family's 1533-position model. The record is from RNAcentral.